CCUACGGGGGGCAGCAGUGGGGAAUAUUGCGCAAUGGGCGAAAGCCUGACGCAGCGACGCCGCGUGAGGGAUGAAGGUCUUCGGAUCGUAAACCUCUGUCAGCAGGGAAGAACGGUCACUGUGCUAAUCAGCAGUGAAUUGACGGUACCUGCAAAGGAAGCACCGGCUAACUCCGUGCCAGCAGCCACGGUAAUACGGAGGGUGCGAGCGUUAAUCGGAUUUACUGGGCGUAAAGCGCUCGUAGGCGGUAUGUCAAGUCAAGGGGGAAAUCCCCGCGCUCAACGUGGGAACUGCCUUUGAAACGGGCAAACUGGAGUGUGUGAGAGGAUAGUGGAAUUCCAGGUGUAGGAGUGAAAUCCGUAGAUAUCUGGAGGAACAUCAGUGGCGAAGGCGACUAUCUGGCACAUAACUGACGCUGAGGAGCGAAAGCGUGGGUAGCAAACAGGAUUAGAUACCCUUGUAGUC
Molecule: ribosomal RNA, 465 nt
Filed under: uncultured bacterium
Lineage: Bacteria
Description: partial 16S ribosomal RNA
Rfam family: Bacterial small subunit ribosomal RNA
Source: RNAcentral